GAUGAACGCUGGCGGCGUGCCUAAUACAUGCAAGUCGAGCGAACGGACGAGAAGCUUGCUUCUCUGAUGUUAGCGGCGGACGGGUGAGUAACACGUGGAUAACCUACCUAUAAGACUGGGAUAACUUCGGGAAACCGGAGCUAAUACCGGAUAAUAUUUUGAACCGCAUGGUUCAAAAGUGAAAGACGGUCUUGCUGUCACUUAUAGAUGGAUCCGCGCUGCAUUAGCUAGUUGGUAAGGUAACGGCUUACCAAGGCAACGAUGCAUAGCCGACCUGAGAGGGGGAUCGGCAACACUGGAACUGAGACACGGACCAGACUCCUACGGGAGGCAGCAGAAGGGAAUCUUCCGCAAUGGGCGAAAGCCUGACGGAGCAACGCCGCGUGAGAGAUGAAGGUCUUCGGAUCGUAAAACUCUGUUAUUAGGGAAGAACAGAUGUGGAAGUAACUGUGCACAUCUUGACGGUACCUAAUCAGAAAGCCACGGCUAACUACGUG
This 497-nucleotide ribosomal RNA is filed under the name uncultured bacterium. RNAcentral describes it as "partial 16S ribosomal RNA". It matches the Rfam family "Bacterial small subunit ribosomal RNA", at positions 28 to 507 of the family's 1533-position model. The record is from RNAcentral.